This 1505-nucleotide ribosomal RNA is filed under the name Helicobacter pylori. Its description in RNAcentral is "bacterial SSU rRNA". It matches the Rfam family "Bacterial small subunit ribosomal RNA". The record is from RNAcentral. Lineage: Bacteria; Pseudomonadati; Campylobacterota; Epsilonproteobacteria; Campylobacterales; Helicobacteraceae.
UUUAUGGAGAGUUUGAUCCUGGCUCAGAGUGAACGCUGGCGGCGUGCCUAAUACAUGCAAGUCGAACGAUGAAGCUUUCUAGCUUGCUAGAGUGCUGAUUAGUGGCGCACGGGUGAGUAACGCAUAGGUCAUGUGCCUCUUAGUUUGGGAUAGCCAUUGGAAACGAUGAUUAAUACCAGAUACUCCCUACGGGGGAAAGAUUUAUCGCUAAGAGAUCAGCCUAUGUCCUAUCAGCUUGUUGGUAAGGUAAUGGCUUACCAAGGCUAUGACGGGUAUCCGGCCUGAGAGGGUGAACGGACACACUGGAACUGAGACACGGUCCAGACUCCUACGGGAGGCAGCAGUAGGGAAUAUUGCUCAAUGGGGGAAACCCUGAAGCAGCAACGCCGCGUGGAGGAUGAAGGUUUUAGGAUUGUAAACUCCUUUUGUUAGAGAAGAUAAUGACGGUAUCUAACGAAUAAGCACCGGCUAACUCCGUGCCAGCAGCCGCGGUAAUACGGAGGGUGCAAGCGUUACUCGGAAUCACUGGGCGUAAAGAGCGCGUAGGCGGGAUAGUCAGUCAGGUGUGAAAUCCUAUGGCUUAACCAUAGAACUGCAUUUGAAACUACUAUUCUAGAGUGUGGGAGAGGUAGGUGGAAUUCUUGGUGUAGGGGUAAAAUCCGUAGAGAUCAAGAGGAAUACUCAUUGCGAAGGCGACCUGCUGGAACAUUACUGACGCUGAUUGCGCGAAAGCGUGGGGAGCAAACAGGAUUAGAUACCCUGGUAGUCCACGCCCUAAACGAUGGAUGCUAGUUGUUGGAGGGCUUAGUCUCUCCAGUAAUGCAGCUAACGCAUUAAGCAUCCCGCCUGGGGAGUACGGUCGCAAGAUUAAAACUCAAAGGAAUAGACGGGGACCCGCACAAGCGGUGGAGCAUGUGGUUUAAUUCGAAGAUACACGAAGAACCUUACCUAGGCUUGACAUUGAGAGAAUCCGCUAGAAAUAGUGGAGUGUCUAGCUUGCUAGACCUUGAAAACAGGUGCUGCACGGCUGUCGUCAGCUCGUGUCGUGAGAUGUUGGGUUAAGUCCCGCAACGAGCGCAACCCCCUUUCUUAGUUGCUAACAGGUCAUGCUGAGAACUCUAAGGAUACUGCCUCCGUAAGGAGGAGGAAGGUGGGGACGACGUCAAGUCAUCAUGGCCCUUACGCCUAGGGCUACACACGUGCUACAAUGGGGUGCACAAAGAGAAGCAAUACUGCGAAGUGGAGCCAAUCUUCAAAACACCUCUCAGUUCGGAUUGUAGGCUGCAACUCGCCUGCAUGAAGCUGGAAUCGCUAGUAAUCGCAAAUCAGCCAUGUUGCGGUGAAUACGUUCCCGGGUCUUGUACUCACCGCCCGUCACACCAUGGGAGUUGUGUUUGCCUUAAGUCAGGAUGCUAAAUUGGCUACUGCCCACGGCACACACAGCGACUGGGGUGAAGUCGUAACAAGGUAACCGUAGGUGAACCUGCGGUUGGAUCACCUCCUUU